AUCCAGCUGAUGAGUCCCAAAUGGGACGAAACGCGCGUCCUGGAU
Schistosoma rodhaini is the source of this 45-nucleotide non-coding RNA. NCBI's taxonomy places the organism in Eukaryota, Metazoa, Platyhelminthes, Trematoda, Strigeidida, Schistosomatidae. The record is from Rfam.